Molecule: ribosomal RNA, 253 nt
Filed under: uncultured bacterium
Lineage: Bacteria
Description: partial 16S ribosomal RNA
Rfam family: Bacterial small subunit ribosomal RNA
Source: RNAcentral
UACAGAGGUGGCAAGCGUUGUUCGGAAUUACUGGGCGUAAAGGGCGCGUAGGCGGCCUUCUAAGUCGGACGUGAAAGCCCCAGGCUUAACCUGGGAACUGCGUCCGAUACUGGAAGGCUUGGAUUCGGGAGAGGGAUGUGGAAUUCCAGGUGUAGCGGUGAAAUGCGUAGAUAUCUGGAGGAACACCGGUGGCGAAGGCGGCAUCCUGGACCGACAUCGACGCUGAGGCGCGAAAGCUAGGGGAGCAAACGGG